Molecule: long non-coding RNA, 3022 nt
Organism: Taeniopygia guttata (zebra finch)
Lineage: Eukaryota; Metazoa; Chordata; Aves; Passeriformes; Estrildidae
Source: Ensembl
UGGGGGCUCUGUACAGGGGGGUUCCUGACCCCUGCCAGGGUCCCAGACCUUCCAGGGCAGCCAGAGGGAAACCCUGGAUUCCCACAAGGAAUGUGAAGGGUGAAUUGCAGCUGCUUUUCUGCAGAGCAGGAGCAUUCACCAUCUGCUGCACUGUUUUUCUGUGCUUAGAUGGGACAUAUGAAUCCAGCCAUUUGUUUAUACAUUUAACUUCUGCAAGCAUUGGCAGGAUUUCUGCCCAUUCAAAAGAAGAACGAAUCUUUGACAUAAUUAAUGCUCUUUGUAGUUUUAAAUGAAAUGUAGACUUUCAAAUGAAAAAUAGAACUCUAAAACUGAUUGGUGGGGUCAUCUGAGGAAUUAUUCUAACAGCAGAAAAGGUUUGUUGUAUAAAGCUAUUUGUUCCAAUUCAAGAAUGAAUGUACAGACAGACUCUACAUUUACAACUGCCUACAGCAUUAUCCAUCCUACAUGAAACUAACCACCUUGUUUUUUAAUCACAUCCAACUACUCCAGCUUCUAGGACUUUCACAUUCAAAGUCAAAAGCUGCAGUACCAUUAGCAUUCUUUUAUGUCUCCAAGUCUCAAAGCUGUGUUAUUUAGCCAAAGAAACUGUACUACAAUUUUUAUGAAAACUUCUCUUUAUUUAUUAAAUAUUUGAAUUGAUUUAGAACACCAGAAAAUAAGAGCCUACUGAACUCUCCAUUUAUUCCAGUCUAGAUUUGACCCAUUGCUUUGUGUGACAUAAGCAAUUAGUCUUGCUGAAACUCCUGUUUAAAGGUUACGACAAUUUGCACAGGACACGAGAGAACUUGCAAUGUCAUUACUGACAAGGCUGCAACCUUCUCUUGUUGACAUCUUAUCAAAUAAGCUCAUUCUUGUUUAAAUCUUGGCCUGAGUUACUUAAAAUGACACUUUUCCAUUGCCAGUGACUGAGUCAGCCAGUAAUUGCUGCUCAAAAUAAUAUAAAUUCAUAACAGUAAAUGAUAGGAGAUAGUUAUUUUUAACAUGUUUGACUUGGUUCCUGAAAUAUCACUCAGUGACACAGAAUAAUAACUCAAGGAAGGGUGAACCAGCUGGAAAGCUGGAGUGGAUUUACUCAUGGGAUUGACAGCACUGCAAGUAACAACACAAGAGGCUCUGCUGCCUCCUGCUUCCUUCUUCCCACUGUUGCAUCCAGAUUUGCCCAGGACCUACCCAAACGCUCACUGUGCAGGUCAGGUAGGUGCUAAAAUCUGUUUAAACAUCUGGAGACCUUGAACAGCUUUGAACAUGAGAUGAAAUGGCAAAUUUCUGGGGUUGGUCAUGCUAAUUUUCAUUUUUCCAUCUAACCAGAAUGUUUAAACAAGCCUUCAGAGGAGAAAGAGUGAAUCCUUUUAACUUUCAAGUAACUUCUUUCCAAAGCACAAGCUUGCAGACACACAGGUACACCCCUAAUAACACUCAGAUGUAGCAGAAGAAUAAGAAAGACUGAAUUUCUAUAUCAGAAAGACCAUGAUUCCAGAUCAAAUUGAGUUUUGUAGUUUUACAGAGCCUGUUGGCCAAUUACAUAAAUGAACUUUCCAUUAGUGAUAGCCAGAGGUUUAGCAUGUUCUCACAUGAUCACACAGCUUGGGUCAGUGCUCAUGUGGAGAAAUCCCUGUCCCUCCGGCACUCGGCUGGCUGCUCUGCUGUUUUGUAGGAACCAUGACCCUUGUGAGCUACCACUGACCCCGAGGGUGACGCAGGGCAGCCUUGCAGGAGCUGAGGGGAGCCACACACCAGUGCAGCUGCCAGAGAUGCUGAAGCUGACGCCAGUGACAAGGCUGCAUUUAGUCUGGGAAAGGCAGACUCCCUCAGGGGAGCCACAGGGACACAGAAGUAUUACAAACUGGUUUAAACAGAGGUGCAGGGUCUGGGCACCCCUUUGUUGGAGCCUUUGAUGGGCCAGGACACCCCCUCUGCUGUCCUUCACACGGAUUUCUCCCCGGCUGAAGGCUCCUCGGCUGAGCAGUAGCACAUUUCUUUGCUUUGGAAAAGGUAUUCUGCGUUUCUAGAGCAAAGAACACUCGUUCCUCUUCAUUAAUCAAUUAUUUAAUCAAUAAGUAUGUGAUAUGCCAAGAAGGAGUUCCAACUACAAGAUGGACACAGCAGGCACAGUUGGUUCUCAGACACUUUGCUGCUUGUGCCUGCCUGGCUCUGGCUUUUCAGAGCCUGGUUUGACUGACACUGAGCCCAAUUCUGUCUUACCAGACAAUAAACCAAGGACUAGAACCAACAGUCAGACAUAUUUCAGUUUGCACUCGUGUAUCUGCCUCUGCUCUUGACAGACAUACAGAGAAUGAGCUGACUGACCUAGUUAAAAUUGCCCAAUUAGCUGAGUGAAUGACAGUCUGAAGAAAGUGAAAAAGAGAAAUAUUCUAUGGAGGGAACUAUCAGGUACUCUGCUGAGAGUAGGGAGAAUCUCCCUUCUUAUGUUGAGACCAAACUCAAGUAUUUAGUCCUGUUAUUUCUACUAUUUCCUAUAGGAAAUUUAACAAUGCAAGUGAAAAGACCUGCAGUAAAAGGUGCUCUAAUUUCCUGUGUAUUUGUACCUGUCCUCAGAGAGAAACACUUAUUUCUGAUGCUAUUGUAAACCACAUUAGCUGGAAAACAAAACAGCAAAACCCUAAACAAGCUCAUAUAGUUUUUUUUAAUAUUAAGAAAGAAAAUACUAACUUAAAAUAUGCUUAAAAGCAUAUUUGUCAUAUGGUAUCACCUUCUGUGUUACUUGGAAAAAAAAAAAGACAUUUACCUUCUGUUUCCCAUUAUUAUCCUGAAGAACAUAAAGGUGCGACUUGAAGACAGCAGGGGAAAAAAAUAGUGAAAAUACAUAAAUAAUAACAACACACUGGUCCAAGAGACUGGGCCAAAGCUAAUUACACUGGCCAGUUAAUUACUUGAUGGCCAGAAACUGCAAAGGAAUAUUUGCUCUUCAGGAUUUGGGCAAAAUGACAGAGACUGAGAGGGGACAAAACAAAAACCCCAGCUGAAAAAAAAAAAAAAAAAA